Small nuclear RNA from Cyprinus carpio carpio, 116 nucleotides. Its record names the gene U5. It matches the Rfam family "U5 spliceosomal RNA". From Rfam's summary of the family: U5 RNA is a component of both types of known spliceosome. The precise function of this molecule is unknown, though it is known that the 5' loop is required for splice site selection and p220 binding, and that both the 3' stem-loop and the Sm site are important for Sm protein binding and cap methylation. The record is from Ensembl. NCBI's taxonomy places the organism in Eukaryota, Metazoa, Chordata, Actinopteri, Cypriniformes, Cyprinidae.
AGCUCGAGUUUCUCUUCAUUGUCGCAUAAAUCUUUCGCCUUUUUACUAAAGAUUUCCGUGGAGGGAGCUUUUGCGAGUGACCUGUAUUUUUUGGGGGCUCUGCUCACAGCAGAGCU